UGCUCUCCCGAUCUAAAUCCCACAGUUAUCCAAGUAGGAUUGUAUCGUCUAAGCAACCAUAACUGAUCUAAUGAGCCAUUCGCAGUUUCACUGUGCUAGAGUUGGUACUUAGACGUGCAUGGCUUAAUCUUUGAGACAAGCAUAUGAUUA
Long non-coding RNA from Haliotis rubra (blacklip abalone), 150 nucleotides. RefSeq lists it as uncharacterized. The record is from RefSeq and is a predicted model, not a curated record. The transcript has 3 exons. Lineage: Eukaryota; Metazoa; Mollusca; Gastropoda; Lepetellida; Haliotidae.